UGCAUGUCUAAGUACACGCCCCAGCAAGGCAAAACCGCGAAUGGCUCAUUAAAUCAGUKGUGGUUCCUUAGAUCUUACACAUUUACUUGGAUAACUGUGGUAAUUCUAGAGCUAAUACAUGCAGCUGAGCCCUCGACCUUUUUGGAAGAGGGUGCUUUUAUUAGACCAAGACCAGACGGGCUCGUCCCGAUAGUCGUGGUGACUCUGGAUAACUAUAGCGGAUCGUAUGGUCUAGCACCUACGACGCAUCUUUCAAGUGUCUGCCUUAUCAACUUUCGAUGGUAGGUUAUGCGCCUACCAUGGUUGUUACGGGUAACGGGGAAUCAGGGUUCGAUUCCGGAGAGGGAGCCUGAGAAACGGCUACCACAUCCAAGGAAGGCAGCAGGCGCGCAAAUUACCCACUCCCGGCACGGGGAGGUAGUGACGAAAAAUAACAAUACGGGACUCUAUCGAGGCCCCGUAAUUGGAAUGAGUACACUCUAAACCUUUUAACGAGGAUCUAUUGGAGGGCAAGUCUGGU
RNAcentral lists this ribosomal RNA (520 nucleotides) under Saetigerocreagris sp. JM-2008. Its description in RNAcentral is "SSU rRNA". It matches the Rfam family "Eukaryotic small subunit ribosomal RNA", at positions 52 to 567 of the family's 1831-position model. The record is from RNAcentral. Lineage: Eukaryota; Metazoa; Arthropoda; Arachnida; Pseudoscorpiones; Neobisiidae.